GUGCCAGCCGCCGCGGUAAUACGUAGGGGGCAAGCGUUGUCCGGAAUUAUUGGGCGUAAAGCGCGCGCAGGCGGCCGCUUAAGUCUCGUGUUUAAGCCCGGGGCUCAACCCCGGAUCGCACGGGAAACUGGGCGGCUUGAGUGCAGGAGAGGGGAGCGGAAUUCCACGUGUAGCGGUGAAAUGCGUAGAGAUGUGGAGGAACACCAGUGGCGAAGGCGGCUCUCUGGCCUGUAACUGACGCUGAGGCGCGAAAGCGUGGGGAGCGAACAGGAUUAGAUACCCUGGUAGUCCACGCCGUAAACGAUGAAUGCUAGGUGUUAGGGGGAACGAACCUCUUAGUGCCGAAGUUAACACAUUAAGCAUUCCGCCUGGGGAGUACGGUCGCAAGACUGAAACUUAAAUGAAUUGACGGGG
This 414-nucleotide ribosomal RNA is filed under the name uncultured prokaryote. Its description in RNAcentral is "bacterial SSU rRNA". It matches the Rfam family "Bacterial small subunit ribosomal RNA", at positions 505 to 918 of the family's 1533-position model. The record is from RNAcentral.